UUGGAGGGCAAGUCUGGUGCCAGCAGCCGCGGUAAUUCCAGCUCCAAUAGCGUAUAUUAAAGUUGUUGCAGUUAAAAAGCUCGUAGUUGAAUUUCGGGGUCAAUAAGUUGGUCGUGCCAAUGGUAUGCACUGGCUUUAUUGAUUCCUACCUCUUGACGAACUGUGAUGCCAUUAAUUUGGUGUCGCAGGAAAUCAGGACUGUUACCUUGAAAAAUUAGAGUGUUUAAAGCAGGCUUACGCUUGAAUACAUUAGCAUGGAAUAAUGAAAUAGGACGUUUGAUCCUAUUUUGUUGGUUUCUAGGAUUGACGUAAUGAUUAAUAGGGAUAGUUGGGGGCAUUAGUAUUCAAUUGUCAGAGGUGAAAUUCUUGGAUUUAUUGAAGACUAACUACUGCGAAAGCAUUUGCCAAGGAUGUUUUCAUUAAUCAAGAACGAAAGUUAGGGGAUCGAAGACGAUCAGAUACCGUCGUAGUCUUAACCAUAAACUAUGCCGACUAGGGAUCGGAUGAUGUUAAUUUUUAAUGACUCAUUCGGC
This 533-nucleotide ribosomal RNA is filed under the name Glomus sp. RNAcentral describes it as "SSU rRNA". It matches the Rfam family "Eukaryotic small subunit ribosomal RNA", at positions 548 to 1084 of the family's 1831-position model. Lineage: Eukaryota; Fungi; Glomeromycota; Glomeromycetes; Glomerales; Glomeraceae. The record is from RNAcentral.